GUCAAAACACGAAAUUACAAUGGAAUUUGUAUGAAAAAGCACAGUGUGAUGUCAUAGAAAAACGUGUCAAAAUGUCGCACUUAGACGAUUUAUGACGUCAUUGCCUCGAAGAAAUGCACUUUCUCUCAUGGCUGUGCAAGCCAAUCCUAGAGCGGCAAACUCUACCGCACACUCUCACAAAAAAUCACAUCAGAAUGUGUGUUUAUGAAAGCGACUGCCUGUCUGACCUUCCAACCCGCGAAGGGAAAUCCAGCCUAAUACAG
This is a long non-coding RNA of Pectinophora gossypiella (pink bollworm), 263 nucleotides long. RefSeq lists it as uncharacterized. The transcript is spliced from 3 exons. The record is from RefSeq and is a predicted model, not a curated record. NCBI's taxonomy places the organism in Eukaryota, Metazoa, Arthropoda, Insecta, Lepidoptera, Gelechiidae.